UAGUAGAGUUACGUAAUUUUGUGCCUGU
RNAcentral lists this non-coding RNA (28 nucleotides) under Bombyx mori (domestic silkworm). Lineage: Eukaryota; Metazoa; Arthropoda; Insecta; Lepidoptera; Bombycidae. The record is from RNAcentral.